Molecule: long non-coding RNA, 779 nt
Organism: Rhinopithecus bieti (black snub-nosed monkey)
Lineage: Eukaryota; Metazoa; Chordata; Mammalia; Primates; Cercopithecidae
Source: Ensembl
AUGCUGCUCUUUUCCUUCCCAGCGGCAGAGUUCGGGGAGCCCACUUCCGAGCAGACAGGGACAGCUGCUGGGAAAACUGUUGCUCAAACCGCAGCCUCGGUGUCCUGGAAGCCCCAGGAUUCUUCGGAACAGUCACAGGAGAAGCUCUGCAAGAAUCCAUGUGCGAUGUUUGCUGCUGGAGAGAUCAAAACGUCGACAGGGGAGGGCCUUCUUGACUCACCCAGCAAAACCAUGUCUAUUAAAGAAAGGUUGGCACUGUUGAAGAAAAGCGGGGAGGAAGAUUGGAGAAACAGACUCAGCAGGAGGCAGGAGGGCGGCAAGGCGCUUGCCAGCAGCCUGCACACCCAGGAAACAGGGCGGUCCCUCAUCAAGAAGCGGGUCACAGAGAGUCGAGAGAGCCAGAUAACGAUUGAGGAAAGGAAGCAGCUCAUCACUGUGAGAGAGGAGGCCUGGAAGACGAGAGGCAGAGGAGCGGCAACGACUCCACCCAGUUCACUGUGGCUGGCAGGAUGCUGAAGAAAGGUUUGGCGUCACCCACUGCCAUAACCCCAGUAGCCUCACCCAUUUGCAGUAAAACAAGAGGCACCACACCCAUUUCCAAACCCCUGGAAGGUAAGUCACCAAGGCCCUGGCCACGCCAAGCCUGAUCAGAAGAGGCCUUAGUGAUGCGGUCUCACUGACAGUUUCUGCUUGCCUAGAUAUCGAAGCCAGACCAGAUAUGCAGUUAGACCUGAAGUUGGACAGGCUGGAAACCUUUCUAAGAAGGCUGAAUAACAAAG